AGCGAACGCUAGCGGCGGGCUUAACACAUGCAAGUCGUGCGCUCUUCGGAGAGCGGCGAACGGGUGAGUAACACGUGGAUUACCUGCCCUUUGGAGGGGGAUAACCCGGGGAAACCCGGGCUAAUACCGCGUAUGGCCUACGGGUCAGAGCCUUCGGGCGCCAAAGGAUGGGUCCGCGGCCCAUUAUUUAAUCCUGGUUGGUGAGGUAACGGCUCACCAAGGGUACGAUGGGUAGCUGGUCUGAGAGGACGAUCAGCCACACUGGGACUGAGACACGGCCCAGACUCCUACGGGAGGCAGCAGUGGGGAAUAUUGCGCAAUGGGCGGAAGCCUGACGCAGCCACGCCGCGUGAGUGAUGAAGGCCUUCGGGUUGUAAAGCUCUGUCGGGAGGGAAGAAGAUCUGACGGUACCUCCCAAGAAAGCACCGGCUAACUCCGUGCCAGCCGCCGCGGUAA
Molecule: ribosomal RNA, 456 nt
Filed under: uncultured bacterium
Lineage: Bacteria
Description: bacterial SSU rRNA
Rfam family: Bacterial small subunit ribosomal RNA
Source: RNAcentral